Molecule: non-coding RNA, 212 nt
Organism: Oryza nivara
Lineage: Eukaryota; Viridiplantae; Streptophyta; Magnoliopsida; Poales; Poaceae
Source: Rfam
AAUAAGUGCAGUUUUAGCACUGUUCAUAUCCAACGUUUGACCGUUCGUCUUAUUUGAAAAAAAGAUUAUGAUUAGUAUUUUUAUUGUUAUUAGAUGAUAAAACAUGAAUAGUACUUUAUGUGUGACUAAUUUUUUUUAAUAUUUUUCAUAAAUUUUUUAAAUAAGACAGAUGGUCAAAAUGCUGAGCACGUAUAUCCAUGGCUGCACUUAUC